GCUCUGCAGAGCGUGGCAGGCGACCUUGGCUCGCGCGUCUCCUCCCUCCGCGGAUGAUCGCGUCUAGGCCACCGCGGCCCAAGCAGGCGACUUCUACUUCAGCCAACCAGCACCGCCCUCCGCCCGGCCCCCUCGGGAAAUCUGCCUCCUCAUUGGCCGCUGGACAGAUAAGCGGGAUGGGAUUGGAGGGUUACCCAUUGGUGGGCUGUAUUGGAAUGCAACUAUUUGAAGUCGAGAUACGCACCCACUAAUUUUGUUGCUUCCUUAAAGAUGAAGGCUUAUGAGAGGAAGAGCACCUUACAGCUAUCAUCGUAUUCUCUACCCUACCUUGAGAACACUGGAAAGCCCUCCCUGCCGGUGCUGUCAGCCUGACUCUUCACCUGGAGCCCACCGCCUUUAGCAGACUGUACCACCAUCACCAUGGCAAGUACCACCUUUCAUUUAGUUGCUGCUGUCUCCAUAAUCUUUUGCCGCCCCACU
Fukomys damarensis (Damara mole-rat) is the source of this 480-nucleotide long non-coding RNA. The record is from Ensembl. NCBI's taxonomy places the organism in Eukaryota, Metazoa, Chordata, Mammalia, Rodentia, Bathyergidae.